UUGGAGGGCAAGUCUGGUGCCAGCAGCCGCGGUAAUUCCAGCUCCAAUAGCGUAUAUUAAAGUUGUUGCAGUUAAAAAGCUCGUAGUUGAAUUUCGGGGUCAGUAGGUUGGUCAUGCCACUGGUAUGUACUGGUCUCACUGAUUCCUCCUUCCUGAUGAACUGUAAUGCCAUUAAUUUGGUGUUGCAGGGAAUCUGGACUGUUACUUUGAAAAAAUUAGAGUGUUUAAAGCAGGCUAACGCCUGAAUACAUUAGCAUGGAAUAAUGAAAUAGGACGUUCGAUCCUAUUUUGUUGGUUUCUAGGAUUGACGUAAUGAUUAAUAGGGAUAGUUGGGGGCAUUAGUAUUCAAUUGUCAGAGGUGAAAUUCUUGGAUUUAUUGAAGACUAACUACUGCGAAAGCAUUUGCCAAGGAUGUUUUCAUUAAUCAAGAACGAAAGUUAGGGGAUCGAAGACGAUCAGAUACCGUCGUAGGCUUAACCAUAAACUAUGCCGACUAGGGAUCGGAUGAUGUUAAUUUUUUAAUGACUCAUUCGGCGCCUUACGGGAAACCAAAGUGUUUGGGUUC
RNAcentral lists this ribosomal RNA (565 nucleotides) under uncultured Glomeromycotina. RNAcentral describes it as "SSU rRNA". It matches the Rfam family "Eukaryotic small subunit ribosomal RNA", at positions 548 to 1114 of the family's 1831-position model. The record is from RNAcentral. Lineage: Eukaryota; Fungi; Glomeromycota.